AGCGCGACCGGAUCCACACCGCGGGUGACCACCAGGUAGUCGCGCAUCACGAUGCCGUGCCGGUUCUC
Molecule: small RNA, 68 nt
Filed under: Nocardia farcinica
Lineage: Bacteria; Bacillati; Actinomycetota; Actinomycetes; Mycobacteriales; Nocardiaceae
Also listed under: 1 other name
Description: ASdes TB sRNA
Rfam family: ASdes TB sRNA
Source: RNAcentral